RNAcentral lists this ribosomal RNA (259 nucleotides) under uncultured archaeon. RNAcentral describes it as "partial 16S ribosomal RNA". It matches the Rfam family "Archaeal small subunit ribosomal RNA", at positions 748 to 1009 of the family's 1478-position model. The record is from RNAcentral.
CAGCCGUAAACUAUGCUCGCUAGGUGUCAGGCAUGGCGCGACCGUGUCUGGUGCCGCAGGGAAGCCGUGAAGCGAGCCACCUGGGAAGUACGGCCGCAAGGCUGAACUUAAAGGAAUUGGCGGGGAGCACAACAACGGGUGGAGCCUGCGGUUUAAUUGGACUCAACGCCGGACAACUCACCGGGGACGACAGCAAUAUGUAGGCCAGGCUGAAGACCUUGCCUGAAUCGCUGAGAGGUGGUGCAUGGCGUAGACGUCU